Molecule: ribosomal RNA, 456 nt
Filed under: uncultured bacterium
Lineage: Bacteria
Description: bacterial SSU rRNA
Rfam family: Bacterial small subunit ribosomal RNA
Source: RNAcentral
UACGGAAGGCAGCAGUGGGGAAUAUUGCACAAUGGGCGAAAGCCUGAUGCAGCUAUGCCGCGUGUAUGAAGAAGGCCUUAGGGUUGUAAAGUACUUUCAUCGGGGAGGAAAAACAAAACUAAUAAUUUUAUUUCUUGACGUUACCCGAAAAAGAAGCACCGGCUAACUCCGUGCCAGCAGCCGCGGUAAUACGGAGGGUGCUAGCGUUAAUCAGAAUUACUGGGCGUAAAGAGCACGUAGGUGGUUUUUUUAAGUCAGAUGUGAAAUCCCUGGGCUUAACCUAGGAACUGCAUUUUGAAACUGAAAUACUAGAGUAUCGUAGAGGGAGGUAGAAUUCUAGGUGUAGCGGUGAAAUGCGUAGAUAUCUGGAGGAAUACCUGUGGCGAAAGCGGCCUCCUAAACGAAUACUGACACUGAGGUGCGAAAGCGUGGGGAGCAAACAGGGAUUAAGAUACC